GCCGGAUUAGCUCAGCUGGUAGAGCAACUGAUUUGUAAUCAGUAGGUCGUUGGUUCGAUUCCGACAUCCGGCACCA
This 76-nucleotide transfer RNA is filed under the name Geitlerinema splendidum. RNAcentral describes it as "tRNA-Thr". It matches the Rfam family "tRNA". From Rfam's summary of the family: Transfer RNA (tRNA) molecules are approximately 80 nucleotides in length. Lineage: Bacteria; Bacillati; Cyanobacteriota; Cyanophyceae; Geitlerinematales; Geitlerinemataceae. RNAcentral also lists the same sequence under 5 other names. The record is from RNAcentral.